CCCAGUCAUUGAUUAUACCAGCCAUACUUCCUGCUCUGAUCGAGAUAGAUUAUUUUGGACAAAAGAAAUCGUGAGGUUUUAUAACAACAGGAACACUCUAUAACACCUGUAACAAUGGCUGAGGCAGUAGCAGAUGAUGACGAAGUAUGGACAAACGUUAUUGAUGAAACCAUUAACGUCAAUGUAGAUAGGCUUUAUCAUCUUGUAUUUGACGACGACUCCAGGUUUUUUAAGGAUUUUUUCCAGGGGAGAAAUAUAACAGAUUUAGUUAUAAGUAAUUGGCAGAAUGCAGAGGUCGGAGAUUCAGAGCAGCAACGUGUGUUAACAUAUACCGUCCAUCCAAAUCGGAUGUUUGCACCUGCAGAUAUACCCAGCACAGAAACUCAGAUUUCCUGUCAAAUAUCAAAUGAUGAGUUCCAGAAACAGUAUAUUAUUAAUGCAAAAACAAUCACCGUGGGUCAUCGUUACGCCGAUUCCUUCCAUGUUUUGAUUCGGUACGAACUAUCAAAGAUCUCCCCAGAUCAAUGUCGUAUGGCUGUUAAAGCUAAAAUUAUCUUCACGCAGGAUGUAAUGGUGAAAGGAACAAUAACAAGUGCAACUUUAGACGAUUUACUCAAAUAUUUUACACAUUUAGCUACAGCAUGUAAACAGAAACUCACAGAUCAAAAUAGAGCCGUCCCUUUACAACGACAGAGACAGAGAAUAAUAGAACCAUUUUAUCAAAGUUUAUUACGAAAGGCUUGGUUCAAGAUUCUUAUUCGUUCCAUAUUUAUUUGGAUUAUAGCUUGGUUAUCAUACAGACUCGUAUACCCGUAGAUACUGACGUCAUCAUCAAAUAACAAGUUCAUGCAUAUACAGACGGAUUGUUUACUUGAAGAGGCUAUCAUUAUGACGUCAUCAUUAAAUAACAAGUUCGUGCAUAUACAGACGGAUUGUUUACUCGAAGAGGUUAUCAUUAUGACGUCAUCAUUAAAUAACAGGUUCGUGCAUAUACAGGCGGAUUGUUUACUCGAAGAGGUUAUCAUUAUGACGUCAUCAUUAAAUAACAGGUUCGUGCAUAUACAGGCGGAUAGUUCACUCGAAGAGUUUGUCGUUAUGACGUUGUAUUAUGUUAUGCAACGCCAUCUAUUUCUAUGCUUCAUGAAUAACACAGCUGUAUUCACGUGUACGCUUAAACACCUUUAAAGUGCCAAUCAACAUUUCAGUUCCGGUUGUGGAUUGUAGUUUCGGUUCUUGACUUUAGUUCCCGUUCUAUAUCUGCUGUUUCUUGAAGAUCCCAACAUGUUUUCUUUAUAGCCAUACAAAACAAAGUAUUAUUUAUUUUCAAACAAAAUAAUUUAAUUACUAAUAGGACAUGCAACAUGUUAUAUAGUUAUUUAUUCCGGAGUAAAAUGGACGUACAAUAGAUUAGGCCGUCUUCAGUUUUAUAAUUGUGUGUAAAACAUGAUAUUUGUGAAAGUUGAACGAUCGUAAUCGUUGCCGAAAGUUCCAAACUGGUUAAAAUACAGAUUUAAAUACCGUUUUUAUAUAUUCGAUGGCAUUUUCCUGCAUUUUUGGGUUGAGUUUUUGGUCUAGAAUUGGAGAAAAGGGAUCAAGGUUGCAAUGUCAUAGCAGUUUUGGGUGAUACAGAUGAGGGAUAAGGGGUGUAAAGUAUCUUUGUGCAGAGCAAUCAUUGUGAGAUUUACACCCCAGUCAACAUCAUAUUCCCGUAGGAAAAAAUCUAAACGGUCAACCCCGUACAAAAUUAUGAUGAGGGGAUUGACAAAUGUGGUCCCCAUUGUGCCUAUAAAGAUUGGAACCAACGGCAUGUUGAGCAAAACGCUACAGCCUGUGAUGUUAUAGCCAUUUAACAUUGAAGUCAAUGGGCAAAUAAUUGCUAGUCUGAGACCAAGCGGACUUGGAGGCAGACCACCAUUAAUUUCUCCAUUGACUCCAAUGUUAAAUCAGUGGUGUUCUACAUGCUGUAGCCCAUUCCCUAAAUUUCGUUGAGAACUUCGCUUUACAGCACAGCAAGUAUGACAUCAUGGGAUCAUCAGAGUACUAAAUUUGUAUGAGGUUGACCACCAAAAUUUCAAUUCACUGAAAUUCAUAGCAGACUGGGGUCAGAAUAUCAUGUCCGUGUUAGUGCAAAAACAAAACAAAGCCUCUUUACUCCUUGUAGUCUUCCGCCUUAAAAAUCUCAAUCUGACACCAAACCAGGCAGAAAAUAGAAAUUCAAUGCCUCUUCAUCAAUUCUACACCAAAAAGUCAAUAGAGAUAAGCAUGCAAAAUGGCAGGAAAGGAGGGAGUAAAAUAUAUCUAAAAAUAGCCGGCACUACCAUUACCGAGAUAUGGAAAAUUAAUGGUGGUCUGCCUCCACUUACACUGCUUAAAAGUUGUCUCCCGUAGUUCCGCGCACACCUCACAUUUUGAUUGGCUAAUCUCUCACAUGAAACGGAACGCGGUUCAUUGAAAAGCCUUUUCAUAUCACUGUCUGCGAUAUCACCUCGGUGGAAGCGGACGUAAAAUACAACUAACCCAUCAUCAACUGUCUGGGCGUAUAUUUAUGUAGUGGAUAGUCAAAUUAUGUGUUCUACAGCAGCUAGGAACAUAAGCGUUAUAAUCGACAGAAUUUGAACAUGGAAGCACAAGUAAAUAAUAUUUGUAAUGUGUGUUACUGUUAUUUAAAAACAAAAUCGGUUAAAAAAGGAAAUACAUUAAUAAUGAUGCAAAUAAAACUUUAAUUAAUUCAUAUGUUACCUCUAGACUAGAUAAUUUCAAUUCCUUGUUAUCUGGACUUCCUUUUACAGUAAUUUAUAAAACUCCAAAAAGUACAAAAUUGUGCAGCUAGUCUAAUAACACAAAGCAGUCAUCUCAUAUUACUCCAAUAUUGUACAGCCUUCACUGGUUACCGAUUCAAUAUAGAAUUAAGUUUAAAAUUCUGCUUCUUACAUACAAAUAUCUCAACAACCUCUGUCCUGCAUAUUUGUAUACCCCUAAACGCAACCUCCGCUCUUCCUCGAGUUCAUGUCUUCUUGUUACACGCAAUGCAUAUUUAAGUUCAUUUGGUGACCGUUCAUUUUAUGUACAAGCUCAAGCCCCCCCCCCCCCCCCCGUUUCCCCAUCACCCUGGAACAAAUCAAAUUACCACUAUAUAUUCUAUGUAUUAAAACAUGUUCAUCAAGGCCUACUUUUAUAAAAUACAUAAAGAAGUUUUUAUGUAAUCAUUUAAAUGUAAGUUUUAUAUAUUGUUUAUAACCGGUUAAAUACCUGGGCCCUGUUUCUCAAAAUAUUAACUAUAUAGAUAAAAUACAAUUUUAGUAGAUACUUAAAUUUUGAUUGGCUAAGCACUAAAAUCAAUCUAAUAUUAUCCAAUCAAUUUACUGAAAUUUGUAUUUUAUCUUAGUUGAAAUUUCGUUAAACAGGCCCCUGUUUAUAACUUUUUUUUAUCUUAAAUGUACGCUACGUAUAGUUAUUGUUUUAUUUACAUAUAUUCUGUGUACUAUAUUUUAUGACAUUUUAUGCUGGUUGUUAUUUUUACAUUGUUGUCUAAUUUUUUUACUCUAACCUUUUUAUUUAUAUGUACUUUUUAUUUAUUUAGCUGUUAAUUGUGUAGAGGGUAUAUGGAUAGCUAACAGUGACAGCUAUGCACUAUAUAAAUUUUUCAAUAAUAAUAUGGCUUGGUGAUAAGAGCACCUAAUCAACAUUGUGAAUUUACCCCCGUUUCCUCCUACAGAAAAGACCUCUGUCCAUGCCCCGGGAAUAUAUUAAAAUUAAACCACUUGUCUGGGAUGUCACCCACGAUAGAAGCGGUCGUUAAGCCCUAAGAACAAACCCCAUUGCCACUAAAAGACAAAAAAAAGAUAUAUGAACAAUAAAAAUAACGAAGCGAAGUAGGAUCUGUGUUUGGUUCAGAUGUUGUUAACAUAUUCACACGAGAGCAGUAUGUAAACAAUUUUAAUAUCCUGCCAAAUUCUGUCACAAGGUUGUACAUUUCGUGUCACACUCACACGCCUGUCCAUUUUGUGUCACACCCCUGUCCAUUUCGUGUCACACGCUUGUCUAUUUCGUGUCACACACUUGUCCAUUUGUUUAAAAUAAAAUUAUGAUCUGAUUAAUAA
Long non-coding RNA from Patella vulgata (common limpet), 4100 nucleotides. RefSeq lists it as uncharacterized. NCBI's taxonomy places the organism in Eukaryota, Metazoa, Mollusca, Gastropoda, Patellidae. The record is from RefSeq and is a predicted model, not a curated record. The transcript is spliced from 8 exons.